CCAGAAAAGGAUAGACUUAAUAAGGAAGUGGGUGCAAAUCCCACGCGGAGCCGCCGCUGUAAAGGGAAGCUGACACAAAAAUGUCACUGGGGAACUAAAAACCUGGGAAGGCUGUGAAAGCGAUGAACCUGAGCCAGAAGACUUGCCUGCAGGAAU
This 156-nucleotide non-coding RNA is filed under the name chicken gut metagenome. The record is from RNAcentral.